Quercus robur (English oak) is the source of this 385-nucleotide long non-coding RNA. RefSeq lists it as uncharacterized. Lineage: Eukaryota; Viridiplantae; Streptophyta; Magnoliopsida; Fagales; Fagaceae. The record is from RefSeq and is a predicted model, not a curated record. The transcript is spliced from 2 exons.
UUUAAUAGCUAUAAUGAAUAAAACUUCUCUCAGUUAAUGAUAAUUGACAACAUUCAUAAUGUCAUUACUCCCUUGGGCUGGGCUUGAGAGGCAGUAAGAGCAGCUUGAACGAUGAAGUGGCAGAGAAUUCGACCCUCUAGAAUAUAGAGAUGGGCUUGGCAGAAGUUUGUGGAGUGAGUAGUAGGUAAGGUAAUUUGAAGUGGCCAUGGAAGGCGUUGGUGUGAGCAGCAGGAAAGCAUGAGGCUUCUGAAGCAGAUAGCAUGAGGAUAGAGGAAGAAUGUUACUCUAGCAAGAGGUACAAAAACAAAAACUUAAGCCUCUCCAACUAAACCAGAAAAGAUAUUGCAAAUUUAAUCCCAGAAAUACACUUUCAAAUCCCUCAUGU